This 793-nucleotide long non-coding RNA is filed under the name Equus asinus (donkey). RNAcentral's name for it is "lncRNA (ENSEASG00005033273.1)". Lineage: Eukaryota; Metazoa; Chordata; Mammalia; Perissodactyla; Equidae. The record is from RNAcentral.
AGUGUGAGGGAGUUCCUUAUGAGAGGACAGCCACGUGAAGACGCACAAACAGAGGGAGAAUGCUGUGUGAAGAUGUAGGCAGAAAUUGGAGUAAUUCAUUAACAAGCCAAGGAACACCAAGGAUGGAGAGAGGCAUGGAAGUGAUUUUCUCUUGGAGGACUCAGGAGGAACCAACCCUGACAACACCUUGAUUUCAGACUUCUAACCUCUAGAAAUAUUCAACAAAGACAACCAGACGGCUCUGUGUGGUGUUUGGAGAGCAGUCCCUGUUGAAGCUCUUCUGCAGACACUUUGGCAGCCUCAGUAUUAUUGAUCUAUUGAAGACAAAGAGGAAAACAUUCUGAUCGGUAUGCUAAGAAGAGUUUACUUCCCGGGGAAGGCAGGCGGUCUCAUGCUUCCGAACUUUUCAUUGCAAUUGUGAAGCCCACCUAGGAAGACAGAGGACUGAAUUAUUAAAGAAACUGAGUUUUCUAGCCUUGAAGCAGAAUUUUCAAUAUUCUGCAAAUUUUACAACGUCUUGUUUGAAAAUACACGUUUUCCCAUGUUUAGAGACAGAAAGAAAGAUAAUUCACUCAGAAGUGAGAAAAGUUAGCUGUGACACUAAAAUUCAGUUGAAUGUAUUAAAGUAUAACUUGGGUUUUAGAUACUUGUCUUAAGAAUAGGUCAUUAAGAAUUUGAACAGCUGGCCUGCUGUUUGAUAUUAUGUCAAUCCCAAAAUAAUCUGUGGGGAAAAUUAAUGUUGUUAUUAAUAUUUUAAAUCUUUUUGUCUAGAUGAGCUGGUAUAAUAAUAAUC